This 87-nucleotide non-coding RNA is filed under the name chicken gut metagenome. RNAcentral describes it as "Glycine riboswitch". It matches the Rfam family "Glycine riboswitch aptamer", at positions 9 to 86 of the family's 94-position model. Rfam says of the family: This family represents the bacterial glycine riboswitch. Glycine riboswitches usually consist of two metabolite-binding aptamers domains with similar structures in tandem. The record is from RNAcentral.
AAUUACUCUGGAGAGACCAAAAAACGGCGCCGAAGGUGUACCCCGUCCGAACGGACGGCUAUCUCUCAGGCAAAGAGGACAGAGCGG